UACGUAGGGGGCAAGCGUUGUCCGGAAUCAUUGGGCGUAAAGCGCGUGUAGGCGGCUUCGUAAGUCCGUUGUGAAAGUCCAGGGCUCAACCCUGGAAUGCCGAUGGAUACUGCGGAGCUAGAGUCCGGAAGAGGCGAGUGGAAUUCCUGGUGUAGCGGUGAAAUGCGCAGAUAUCAGGAGGAACACCAAUGGCGAAGGCAGCUCGCUGGGACGGUACUGACGCUGAGACGCGAAGGCGUGGGGAGCAAACAGG
RNAcentral lists this ribosomal RNA (253 nucleotides) under uncultured bacterium. RNAcentral describes it as "partial 16S ribosomal RNA". It matches the Rfam family "Bacterial small subunit ribosomal RNA", at positions 524 to 776 of the family's 1533-position model. The record is from RNAcentral.